RNAcentral lists this unclassified non-coding RNA (231 nucleotides) under plant metagenome. RNAcentral's name for it is "partial contains small subunit ribosomal RNA, internal transcribed spacer 1, and 5.8S ribosomal RNA". The record is from RNAcentral.
UCUCCGUUGGUGAACCAGCGGAGGGAUCAUUACAGAGUUGUAAAACUCCCAAACCAUCGUGAACGUUACCUAUCCCGUUGCUUCGGCGGGCGGCCCGGGCCCCGCGCCCGGCGCCCCCCGGCCCCCCGUGGGCGCCCGCCGGAGGUAAACCAAACCCUUGAAUUGCAUGGCCUCUCUGAGUCUUCUGUACUGAAUAAGUCAAAACUUUCAACAACGGAUCUCUUGGUUCUG